Molecule: small RNA, 372 nt
Filed under: Arabidopsis thaliana (thale cress)
Lineage: Eukaryota; Viridiplantae; Streptophyta; Magnoliopsida; Brassicales; Brassicaceae
Description: ATSL126200
Source: RNAcentral
GUUAUUUUAAAGAUAUUUCUUAGUUCAAACUACUGCGAGAAGUACCGCAUCAUGCCAGAUAGAGCCCAAAUUUUAACCCCGGUCUACAUGUGUAUGAAAACAAAGUUUUAAACUUAUUUCUCCCCGAAACGUAAGUUCUAUAGCUAAAUCUCCCCAAAUUAAUACUUCGAGAUCUAUUAACCCAUAUAUCUGGUUUUUGUCGGUUUAAUGUACCAAUUCAGUCUUAACCAUUUGAAAACAAACUUUAACCAAAACUAAACCAAAAUUAUCAAAAAUUAACCCGAACCCGCCGACCUAUUAACGUUCCGAUCCAACGCUUCUUCUUCACCUGAAAUUUUGCUUGGAUUCUCUUCGUUUAAAAACAAUACCAGA